GACGAACGCUGGCGGCGUGCUUAACACAUGCAAGUCGAACGGAAAGGCCCUGCUUUUGUGGGGUGCUCGAGUGGCGAACGGGUGAGUAACACGUGAGUAACCUGCCCUUGACUUUGGGAUAACUUCAGGAAACUGGGGCUAAUACCGGAUAGGAGCUCCUGCUGCAUGGUGGGGGGUGGAAAGUUUCGGCGGUUGGGGAUGGACUCGCGGCUUAUGAGCUUGUUGGUGGGGUAGUGGCUUACCAAGGCUUUGACGGGUAGCCGGCCUGAGAGGGUGACCGGCCACCUUGGGACUGAGGUACGGCCCAGACUGCUACGGGAGGCAGCGGUGGGGAAUCUUGCCCAAUGGGCGGAAGCCUGAUGCAGCAACGCCGCGUGCGGGAUGACGGCCUUCGGGUUGUAAACCGCUUUCGCCUGUGACGAAGCGUGAGUGACGGUAAUGGGUAAAGAAGCACCGGCUAACUACGUG
This 468-nucleotide ribosomal RNA is filed under the name uncultured bacterium. Its description in RNAcentral is "partial 16S ribosomal RNA". It matches the Rfam family "Bacterial small subunit ribosomal RNA", at positions 28 to 507 of the family's 1533-position model. The record is from RNAcentral.